CGAAUCGACAAGAGUUAUUGGGCUGUACCAUUGAAACAGCGAAAAGGCGGAUUCCUACCAGUCCAUGCAAUCAUUGCAACAUCCAACGCGUGCGAUAGAGGAGUCAGUAAUUGCCCAGUCAGAGUUGGCGAAUGACAGGGUGCAUUACUAACCAGUGCGACGAAGUGCAUGGGUGCACGGCGUGCCUCCCUUCAACGCCACCACCAAUGACCGGGGUAGAAUGCGCCAAUGCGCUGCUGCUCCGCUCACCCCCUUGAUCCGUGGUGUGCUUUGUGCAUGCGCGCGGGCAGAAUCAGCUGGCGGCAGAGACACCGCUGGGCGAGCACACAAUAGGAAGAUUUGUGCAUCCGUGCAAAUGACGGCUCGUUGGAUUUGAAGGUUACAGCUGAGCGAGAUCAACAGAAACAUUUUUCCCGAAAGACUUAGCCGAACUCAACUUGUGAGAGCCAAGGCAGACAUGAACAACACCACCGUGCUUCCCGCCAUCAUAGCAGGCAUCCCUGACGGAAACGGAGUCAUGGCCAGGUUUUUCACAAGCCCCCGGUUUGAGGCGUUCCGCGACGGCUGGAACAUUGCCUGCUUCACCGUGCUGCUGAUAUUCACGCUCACCGUGCUGUGCCUAGCUCUGGUGGCCGUCCUCUACGACAAGAUCGUACCCGUCGACCAGGACAGGGUUGAGUCAGUUGACGGCCAGGAGAAACGAGAGGAGGGCAAGCCGUGCAGGCUGCGAAGGCUGCUGUGUAGGAUCUCCCCAGACGAAAACGAGGUCGUGUGAACGUGCUGCUGCUAAAGCUGUGGUCAUCAUCUACCACCCGUAGACUGUUACGUCU
This is a non-coding RNA of Petromyzon marinus (sea lamprey), 830 nucleotides long. NCBI's taxonomy places the organism in Eukaryota, Metazoa, Chordata, Hyperoartia, Petromyzontiformes, Petromyzontidae. The record is from RefSeq and is a predicted model, not a curated record.